CGCAAUGGGCGAAAGUCUGACGGAGCGACGCCGCGUGCAGGAUGAAGUCCUUCGGGAUGUAAACUGCUUUUAUAGGGGAGGAAGUCUAUUGACGUUACCCUAAGAAUAAGAGGUUGCUAAACUCGUGCCAGCAGCAGCGGUAAUACGAGUGCCUCAAGCGUUAUCCGGAAUCAUUGGGCGUAAAGGGUGUGUAGGUGGUCGCAUUAGUCUUUUGUUAAAACCUCGGGCUUAACCCGAGAUCUGCAAAAGAAACGGUGCGACUUGAGGAUGCAAGGGGUCUGCGGAACUCAUAGUGUAGCGGUGAAAUGCGUUGAUAUUAUGGGGAACACCAAAAGCGAAGGCAGCAGACUAGGGCACUCCUGACUCUAAACACGAAAGCGU
This 381-nucleotide ribosomal RNA is filed under the name uncultured organism. RNAcentral describes it as "bacterial SSU rRNA". It matches the Rfam family "Bacterial small subunit ribosomal RNA", at positions 367 to 762 of the family's 1533-position model. The record is from RNAcentral.